UGUUACAAGGAGGAAUGAAAGGAAACACCAAUAAAAUAUAAAUGGUGGAUGUGUGGAUUAUGGGGUAAAGGAUUAUUGAAUAAUUUUUUUACAAUUUCUGUAUUUUUAGCUUUUUACUUUUGUAAUAAAAAUCUGUUCACUAAGAUAAUUUUUUUUCAGGAUGAUGCUUCUUGAAAAUUGCUUAGUUGAAAAAUGGAGAGAUCAGCUUAGUAAAAGAUCCAUACAGUGGGAAGAGAGGCUGCAGGAACAGCGGAGAACAGUUCAGGACAAGAAGAAAACAGCCGGGCGCACCAGUCGUAGUAAUCCCCCCAAACCAAAGGGAAAGCCUCCUGCUCCCAAACCAACCAGUCCCAAGAAGAACAUUAAAACUAGGAGUGCCCAGAAGAGAACAAACCCGAAAAGAGAGUGAGCUAACUAGUUUCCAAAGCGGAGACUUCCGACUUCCUUACAGGAUGAGGCUGGGACAGUCUAUGUAAGGCCAUGUGCCCCUUGCCCUAACAACUCACUGCAGUGCUCUUCAUAGACACAUCUUGCAGCAUUUUUCUUAAGGCUAUGCUUCAGUUUUUCUUUGUAAGCCAUCACAAGCCAUAGUGGUAGGUUUGCCCUUUGGUACAG
RNAcentral lists this small RNA (615 nucleotides) under Pan troglodytes (chimpanzee). Its description in RNAcentral is "retained intron". The record is from RNAcentral. Lineage: Eukaryota; Metazoa; Chordata; Mammalia; Primates; Hominidae.